UACGAAGGGGGCUAGCGUUGUUCGGAAUUACUGGGCGUACAGCGCACGUAGGCGGAUUGUUAAGUCAGAGGUGAAAUCCCGGAGCUCAACUUCGGAACUGCCUUUGAUACUGGCAAUCUAGAGUCCGGAAGAGGUUAGUGGAAUUCCCAGUGCAGAGGUGAAAUUCGUAGAUAUUGGGAAGAACACCAGUGGCGAAGGCGGCUAACUGGUCCGGUUCUGACGCUGAGGCGCGAAAGCGUGGGGAGCAAACAGG
Molecule: ribosomal RNA, 253 nt
Filed under: uncultured bacterium
Lineage: Bacteria
Description: partial 16S ribosomal RNA
Rfam family: Bacterial small subunit ribosomal RNA
Source: RNAcentral